RNAcentral lists this ribosomal RNA (427 nucleotides) under uncultured prokaryote. RNAcentral's name for it is "bacterial SSU rRNA". It matches the Rfam family "Bacterial small subunit ribosomal RNA", at positions 355 to 774 of the family's 1533-position model. The record is from RNAcentral.
UGAGGAAUCUUGCGCAAUGGGGGAAACCCUGACGCAGCAACGCCGCGUGAGUGAGGAAGGUCUUCGGAUCGUAAAGCUCUGUCGGGUGGAAAGAAAUGUAUGGGGUGAAUAGCCUUCAUACUUGACGGUACCACCAAAGGAAGCACCGGCUAACUCCGUGCCAGCCGCCGCGGUAAUACGGGGGGUGCAAGCGUUGUUCGGAAUUAUUGGGCGUAAAGAGCGUGUAGGCGGCUUGUCAAGUCAGAUGUGAAAGCCCUGGGCUUAACCCAGGAAGUGCAUUGGAAACUGGCAGGCUAGAGUAGGGGAGAGGGAAGUGGAAUUCCUGGUGUAGAGGUGAAAUUCGUAGAUAUCAGGAGGAACACCGGUGGCGAAGGCGACUUCCUGGCCCUAUACUGACGCUGAGACGCGAGAGCGUGGGUAGCAAACA